RNAcentral lists this ribosomal RNA (1403 nucleotides) under uncultured Bordetella sp. Its description in RNAcentral is "partial 16S-23S ribosomal RNA intergenic spacer". The record is from RNAcentral. Lineage: Bacteria; Pseudomonadati; Pseudomonadota; Betaproteobacteria; Burkholderiales; Alcaligenaceae.
UUACCUUGUUACGACUUCACAGUCGCAGAAUCUACCGUGGUAAUCAUACUCUUACGGUUAGGCUAACUACUUCUGGUAAAACCCACUCCAUGGUGUGACGGGCAGUGUACAGAGACCGGGAACAUGUUCACCGCGACAUAGCGAUCCACGUUACUAGCACGAUUCCGACUUCACCCAGUCGAGUUGCAGACUGCGAUCCGGACUACGAUCGGGUUUCUGGGAUUGGCUUCCCUCGCGGGUUGGCGACCACUCUGUCCCGACCAUUGUAUGACGUGUGAGCCCUACCAUAGAACCGCAGACGACAUCAUCCCCACCACCUCCGGUGUCACCGGCGAUCCUCGUAGAGUACCACUCAUGGCGCUAAUGACAAAGGUGCCACUCGUGCGGGCACCAACAACAUCUCCUGUACGAGCAACCGGCAACUUGCGCGCUCCUAUAUUCCCGUUCUCCUGAAACCUCCAAAUCUCUUCGGGAUUCCGGAGCAUGUCAAAAGUAAGUAGGUAUACUUGUUGCAUCAGGUAAUCCCAUCGUCACAGCUUUGUGCAGUGCGUCAGUUCCCAAAUUUUAAUCUGCGACCAUAUACGAGCAUUCCGGCUUCACAGUAACUGCUGCAAAACCCGAAGGCACAGCAACUAGUGACAUCAUUUGGGAGCAUGGACACAGGAAGUAUCUGAAUCCUAUUUGCUCUGCGCUUUCGUACGCAGGCGUCAGUAUUUAUCGAAAGCUGCCGCCGUAAUGUUCUCGCAUAUCUGCGCAUUUCCACUUUGCUACGCGAUGCCUCCCCUCGACCCUCUAUCGGUGAUUGAAAAUGCAGUUCAAAGUUAGCUCUAAGGUUUCUCUUUCUUUCGAACGCCUGCGCGCUUGCGCCAGUAAUUCCGAUUAACGCUGCACCUACGUAUUACCGCGGCUGCUGGCACGUAGUUAACCAGGUGCUUAUUCUGCGGGUACCGUCAGUUGCACGGGGUAUUAUCCGUGCCGUUUCUUUCCUGCCAAAAGUGCUUUACAACCCGAAGACCUUCAUCGCACACGCAGGAUGGCUGGAUCGGGGUUUCCCCAUUGUCGAGAAUUCCCACUGUUGCCUCCGUAAGGGUCACGGGCCGUCUCGAUCCCAGUGUGGCUGGUCGUCCUCUCCAGAGCCAGCUGCGGAUCGUCGCCUUGGUGAGCCGUUACCCGCAACUAGCCCCAAUCCGAUAUCGGCCGCUCUGAUAGUGCGGGGCGAUCCCCGCUUUCCCCGAAGGGGCGUGUGCGGUAUUAGCUGCGCUUUCGCGUGGUUAUCCCCCGCUACUGAGCGUUCCGACCAUUACUCACCCAUUCGCCACUCGCCUACCGAACCGAAAAUCCGUACGCCGUUCGACUUGCAUGUGUAAAGCAUCCGCCGGCGUUCAAUCGAACCGUAAUCAAAC